UAAGUACAUCCCUCCCUGGCAGAUGUAAGAAAGCUAUCACUUUGCUCCAGAUGAAGCGGAUUUAGAGUGAAGUGGCUGCUGAGGACAGGGUGGUGGGGAUCUGGCUAAAGCUCUGCAGCAGCUUGAGCUCAGACGUCACCAGGCUCUUGGUGGGCGAGGACAGGGGUCCCUGGAUCCUGCACCACAGGCUAAAUAAGCCAAGUCCUUCUGGAGGUAAGAAAAGAUACUGCUGAUUUCAAAGAAACCGCCUCAUUAAAAAGUAGCUUUUCCACUUGAUGAAAGAAUCUAGAACUGUGAAGGGAUCCUUUGCAGAGAAUCGACAUCACAACCGCAAACAACUCUCCAUGAUUUUUACUCCAAAAGCCUGAUUCAAUGGGAGAAAUCCCAGCCUUUCAGCCUCCAAUUGUGAUAAAUCACGAAGAGAGCAAUGCCUAGAUCAACAUGCAGUUCUGAAAAAUCUUAACCCUUGCUCUUCUCAAUUCCCAUACUGUACAUCACCAAAAUCAGGAGCAACUGGAAAAAGACAACAUGAGAAACUGGACGUUCUUUGCCACCAGCAGGGCUGUGCUAGGAGCAGACAGCAUUAACUGUGCGGAGGUCUUGUUGAGAAUGUUUAGUCUGAAUUUAAUCGUGAGGUCAUUAUCAGACAAUGGCAGAAUUUAGACCGCUGAACAAGUCAACUGGCCUGUCUUUCUUCAAACAGUCAAUAUCAUCACAAGUAAGAUGACAAAAAGGAGAAGAGAUAUUUUGGGAUCCAAAGGACUGAAAAGAUUAUGUUACUAUACUUCUUUAGUCCUUUUGAGCCGAAGACAUUCCUCACCUUUUUGUGAUUGCCUGCGAUGGUGGUGACAUUGCCUUGUUUGUAGAGGACAGGUCAGUCGUCUGGCUCAAUGGUCUACAUUCUCAAGUUGUCUGACCAUUUCCUCAUGAUUAAAUUCAGGCUCACACUUUUGCCGAGAACACUUCACAGUUAAUGCUGUGUGCUUCCUAGCGCAGCCCACCCAGAGACCAGAAUGACCAGUUUAUCCACCACCAUUACUGUGAGAACAUUGGUCACUUUGUUAUGGAGGGGCCUAGGAGAUCUGUCCAUUGUAAAGACACAUUUUUUUCUUUCUAUAAUCAGUAAUUUGGGGAAAGGUACUUUGAGAGUGUGUGAAUAUCCUCUUCUCUAAAGAUCUUUUUCUAAAACUUUUACCAUCCAUUCAUGAUCCCUGCUGUGUGUCGAUUGUCAUAUUGGUGUUUGUACAUUGGGGAUCUUCCAAUUUUAUCAUUCCUAUAUACAUGUAUUUGCUGGCCUUGUGCUGUGGAAAAGAACAUUCC
This 1320-nucleotide long non-coding RNA is filed under the name Equus asinus (donkey). Its description in RNAcentral is "lncRNA (ENSEASG00005026814.1)". Lineage: Eukaryota; Metazoa; Chordata; Mammalia; Perissodactyla; Equidae. The record is from RNAcentral.